AAGAGACGUUGCCCUUCGGGGUAUACCCCCCACCCUUUGUUUAUUAUACCUUUGUUGCUUUGGCGGGCCCGUCCUCGGACCACCGGCUUCUGCUGGUCAGUGCCCGCCAGAGGACCUAAACUCUGUUUGUUAAUAUUGUCUGAGUACUAUAUAAUAGUUA
Molecule: unclassified non-coding RNA, 160 nt
Filed under: soil metagenome
Description: partial internal transcribed spacer 1
Source: RNAcentral